RNAcentral lists this ribosomal RNA (273 nucleotides) under Triticum aestivum (bread wheat). Its description in RNAcentral is "partial small subunit ribosomal RNA". The record is from RNAcentral. Lineage: Eukaryota; Viridiplantae; Streptophyta; Magnoliopsida; Poales; Poaceae.
AUGGUGCACAGGCUUACACACGACGAAGGUGACGAGGCUGCCGCCACCACGGAGGGGAGGAAGAGGGAGACGACGGCGACAAGGAGGAGGAGGAGGCAAGGUGGCGGAGACGCCAUCGCGGCGAUCAAGAGGAGGAUGCUGCGGUGCAGCGAGGCCGGAGAACGGGUGAGGUUCAAGCGGAGCUACUUGGCAGGCGCGGGCGGCGGCGAGCAGGGCGACGGCGCCUCCGCCGUCUUCUUCUACCUGGCCUGCAUCGCCUGUGCGCCGGCUUAA